Molecule: long non-coding RNA, 599 nt
Organism: Paramisgurnus dabryanus
Lineage: Eukaryota; Metazoa; Chordata; Actinopteri; Cypriniformes; Cobitidae
Source: RefSeq, a predicted model, not a curated record
GAAGAUUCAAAAUCACGAACCGUUACUGCAUGGACUACUCUCGGUCUCUUUGUUUGCUCAUCGACAUUACAAGAAAUAUAAUGAAGUAACAGUGGAGGCAAAACAUCAGACUGAUCCAGACACUGAAGAAAUUGAUGUCACUGCAAUCUGGCCAAAAUGAUACAACUAUAUUGAACUAGCCUACUGUAAUGAAGCUGCAGAACAACAGAGACUCUGAGGACAUCAACACAGAAAAUGAAGGCUCCAAAGAGAUGUCUGUCCAGAUGAGGGUGCAUCAACUUUACCUUUGCUGACAACAGUUAACUUAACUCAAACCAUUUAAGGAAAUCGGUUGCCUUAACCCAUUAAGUUUUAAAAAACAUACAUUUGAGUACUGUGAACUUAAGUCUUGUGCAAUUAUGCACUUAUAUUUAGGUAGUGUGAACUUAAAUAUAAGUGCAUAACUGCAUGUGACUCAAUUUUUUUAAGUUCACAGUACUCAAAUCUAUGUGUUUUAAAACUUGAAUGGUUUUAAAUGUGAGAAAUUACAGUGUUACAGUGAGAAAUGUUUGAAUAAUUCCAAGACAGAGCUCUGCUAUUGAAUCUACACUGCAAAAAAU